UAGUCCACGCCGUAAACGAUGGAUACUAGGUGUCCGGGAUAUUAACCUCCUGGGUACUACAGUUAACGCGUUAAGUAUCCCGCCUGGGGAGUACGGUCGCAAGGCUAAAACUCAAAGGAAUUGACGGGGGCCCGCACAAGCGGUGGAGUAUGUGGUUUAAUUCGAAGCAACGCGCAGAACCUUACCUACCCUUAACAUUUCACGACGUAUACAGAGAUGUAUAUUUCUCUUCGGAGACGUGAGGAUAGGUGCUGCAUGGUUGUCGUCAGCUCGUGCCGUGAGGUGUCAGGUUAAGUCCUAUAACGAGCGCAACCCCUGUUGUUAGUUACCAGUGAGUAAUGUCGGGAACUCUAACAAGACUGCCGGUGCAAACCGCGAGGAAGGUGGGGAUGACGUCAAAUCAUCACGGCCCUUACGUCCUGGGCCACACACGUGCUACAAUGGUAGGGACAGAGAGCAGCCACAACGCGAGUUGGAGCGAAUCUAUAAACCCUAUCACAGUUCGGAUCGGAGUCUGCAACUCGACUCCG
Molecule: ribosomal RNA, 530 nt
Filed under: uncultured bacterium
Lineage: Bacteria
Description: bacterial SSU rRNA
Rfam family: Bacterial small subunit ribosomal RNA
Source: RNAcentral